Molecule: unclassified non-coding RNA, 391 nt
Filed under: soil metagenome
Description: partial contains 5.8S ribosomal RNA, internal transcribed spacer 2, and large subunit ribosomal RNA
Rfam family: 5.8S ribosomal RNA (bases 1-122)
Source: RNAcentral
GAUGAAGAACGUAGCGAAAUGCGAUACUUGGUGUGAAUUGCAGAAUCCCGUGAACCAUCGAGUCUUUGAACGCAAGUUGCGCCCGAAGCCAUUAGGCCGAGGGCACGCCUGCCUGGGCGUCACACGUCGUUGCCCCCCCAUCUACUCCUUCGGGAUUGCGGGGGGCGGAUGAUGGCCUCCCGUGCGCCUCGUCGCGCGGUUGGCCUAAAUGCCAAGUCCUCGGCGACGCACGCCACGACAAUCGGUGGUUGCGAAACCUCGGUUGCCGGUCGUGUGCGGUCGUCGCGCAUCGAGGGCUCGAAAAAAUUGCCGGGCUUCGGCUCGACUUUCAACGCGACCCCAGGUCAGGCGGGGUUACCCGCUGAAUUUAAGCAUAUCAAUAAGCGGAGGA